RNAcentral lists this ribosomal RNA (473 nucleotides) under uncultured bacterium. RNAcentral describes it as "bacterial SSU rRNA". It matches the Rfam family "Bacterial small subunit ribosomal RNA", at positions 355 to 825 of the family's 1533-position model. The record is from RNAcentral.
UGGGGAAUUGUUCACAAUGGGCGCAAGCCUGAUGACGCAACGCCGCGUGGGGGAUGAAGGUCUUCGGAUUGUAAACCCCUGUCGAAUGGGACGAAAGACUCGCGAGUUAAUACUUCGCGGGAGUGACGGUACCGUUAAAGGAAGCCACGGCUAACUCUGUGCCAGCAGCCGCGGUAAUACAGAGGUGGCAAGCGUUGUUCGGAAUUACUGGGCGUAAAGGGCGCGUAGGCGGCCUACUAAGUCAGACGUGAAAUCCCCCGGCUUAACCUGGGAACUGCGUCUGAUACUGGAAGGCUUGAGUAUGGGAGAGGGAUGUAGAAUUCCAGGUGUAGCGGUGAAAUGCGUAGAUAUCUGGAGGAAUACCGGUGGCGAAGGCGGCAUCCUGGACCAUUACUGACGCUGAGGCGCGAAAGCUAGGGGAGCAAACGGGAUUAGAUACCCGUGUAGUCCCUGAGCGGGCUGGCAAGGCGCAU